This is a non-coding RNA of Leptonychotes weddellii (Weddell seal), 2700 nucleotides long. NCBI's taxonomy places the organism in Eukaryota, Metazoa, Chordata, Mammalia, Carnivora, Phocidae. The record is from RefSeq and is a predicted model, not a curated record.
UAUAUAUAUUUUUAAUCUAGCUAGCAAAUAAGAAUAGGGCAUUGGAUUAACAUAUUUCCUAUUGCUUUUGUUUGUAGAAUUCAACAUUUUAGAUCUUUUGAAAAGAAGUGUAUGCUUGUUGGACAUGUAUUUUGUGGAUUACCAUAAAACCCAAUGUUUGCAUAUCCGUUGCUAUGAAACUGGAGAUGAAGUUUCUUCAAGAAUAUUUACUUCUGGAGACAUUUCAACUUCUCAUCAGCUCUGUGUGCUGGAAAAGAGCAGUCUGGUGGGCAAGGGUGACCCACAGUGAGCUGGUGGUGAAGGAGGCAUCCCUGAGGAGCCGCAGGAUGUCUCGGACCUGCUUGCCUAGAGGAAGACUUGCCAGGAUUUGGAUGCUUAACAUUACGCGUCAACUCGACUGAUUCACAGAAUCUGCAUCAGACCUCACAUCGGAAGGGAACAGUGCACACACAAUAAGACAAUGCUCCCUCUCCUUGCAAGUAAUCUUGUGUGAAGACCUCAGGAAUCAUCUUUCUUCAUCCAGAACCUGUGUCUCCAGGCUAGUACAUAUUAUUCAGGACUAUUUGUGUUGUAUGCGCCAACAAACCCAACUUAAACUGGCUUAACAAAAAUGGGAAAACCUCAGCUCAUGUAACAGAGACGUCUACAGGACACACGUGGGGAGCUCUGAAAUUCAGAGUUUCAUGCCUCCCUGAAUCACCUCAUCGUAUCCAGAAGUUGGCCCAGCAUCCUUUCCUCCAUCUGCAUGGUGGCUGCCUCACCUAGUUCAGGACUUCAGCUUUUUCUUGGAAUUCCAACUGCAGCUCGGCUCUGAGGAAUGGAUGUCCGCCACCCUUAGGAGAUAACCCUGGCAUGACAAUGGCUUUUGGGGUGCAGCAGGUGUUACUCCCGGGCAGGAAGCACUUUGAUACCUGUGUCUGGCUGAGGGCUCCUGGGACCCGAGGAGCACAGCCACUCUCCACACACUGUCCCACAGAGGGGGGACCAGGAUUUGGCAAGAAAAUAUGGAGAGACUAAAAGGAAAAAUAAACUGCUUUCACUGGAGAUACAUCUAAAGAACAAUUGGUUAACUGAAACCAUUUUCCUUUGACAUUUAAUGCCUCCCUUGAACAAAAGGUUUCCAAGCUGCUCCACAGCUUGACUCUGAAUGAGUUCAACGAUUAAUUUAUCUGAUGAAAGGUGCUCCAUGCCUCACUAUGUCCUCGAACAAAGAGAAAUUGAUUCUUCAAUAUCAUUAUUUUCACAUGGUAAGUGGUAGCACAAAUGAUUCAUUUAUAAUUCUCUAUGCAUAAACCUUUAGAUUAUGACAGGUUAUUGAAAUACUUCAAGCUAUUUAUCAUGAUCUCAUCAGCAGUACCCAGACAAAGAACUAAUCUUAUCAAUUCUGGAGUGGAAACAUAAAAACAAAACAAGGUGACUUUUGUUUUGUCCACUUGCUAUGUAAAGUAUGGCUAUGCCUCCGAAUGGGUGAAAUCUUUCAAUACUGCAUAUGUUUUAGAUAGUGUAUUCUUGCAGAAUGCUUGCUAUGUCCAGCUUCAUGACUGACCAGGAGUUGCCUUUGAAUUUAGGUGGUUUGCCUGCUAUGCUCUGGUCUUAAUUAUCUUAGUUGCAGUGGAUGCUUCAUCCAGUAAUACACAUAUAAUAACAUGUGACUUGACUGAGUUGUAAUGAAUGGGCUGAACUGUGCUAUAGUCUAAAUAUCUGUGUCCCCCCCCACCCCAAAUUCACAUGUUGAAAUCUAACCCCAGUGUGAUAAUAUUAGGAGGCAGGGCCUUUGAGAGGCCACUAGGUCAUGAGAGGGGACCCUCAUGAAUGGAUUAGCAUCCUUAUAGAAGGAAUCCCAGAGAGCUCCCUUGCCCCUUCCACCAUGCAAGGACACGGUGAGAAGAUGCUGUCUAUGAACCAGGAAGUGCGUCCUUACUAGAUACCAGAUCUGCUGGUCCCCUGAUCACAGGCUUCCAGCCUCUAGAACUGUGAGAAAUAUAUUUCCAUUGCUUAUAAGCCAGACUGGAUGUCUAUGGUAUUUUGUUGUAGCAGCCUGAAGGGACUAAGACAAAUUGUGUUUCCCAAAAGAUAUGCUGAAAUUCUGACCCCCAGCACCUGUAAAUGUGCCCUUACUUAGAAACAGGGCCUUUGAAGAUAAUCAGGUUAAGAUGAUGAAGUCAUACUGGAGUAGGAUGAUAUCCUUAUAAGAUGUGAAGAGACGUGGACACAAGGAGAAGGCCAUCUGAAGACAGAGGCAUAGACAACAGGGAUGCACCUACAAGCCAAGGAAUCCCAAGGAUUGCUGGCCACCACCAGAAGCCAGGAGAGAGGUAAGGAACAGAUACUUCCUCUGAACCCCCAAGAGGGAACAAAGCCUGAUGAACUUUGACUUCAGACCUCUGGCCUCCAAAGAUGUGAGAGAAUGCAUUUCUGUUGUUUUAAGACACCCAGUUCAUAGUAAUUUUUAUAGCAGCCUUAGGAAACUCAUACAUGUGGAAAUGAAUGUAUAUUUUCUAUAUGAAGUUAAUACAUGAAACAAUCAGUUUUAAAAAGAGAAACACUUCUUGAAAUACAGUUAAGAUUACUGAGUAUCUGUCUCUUUAUCUCUGUCUCUGUCACUCAUUCAUAAUUUUGUGCGUGCGCACAUCCAUUCUACCUAAUGGGUUUAGAGCUUAUCUUUUUUCUUCAGGGUUUCACUUUAUAGAAAUGAGUUUU